Long non-coding RNA from Pan troglodytes (chimpanzee), 1885 nucleotides. Lineage: Eukaryota; Metazoa; Chordata; Mammalia; Primates; Hominidae. The record is from Ensembl.
UAAAAUAAUUGGAAGAAUGUAAGCUCUCAACUAGUCCACUAGUCCUGAAACAAUAGAUACCAGCUGGUAGAGAUAAUAGCUGUCUGGAAGAGAGAGAUACAUACCACAUCAAAAAACAACAAAAAAAGGAUGGCUCAAGUACUCAAAAGGCAGCACUAAAAUAAGGCUAUGUCUCUUCCUGAGAAUACUCUGGACUUCAUUCUCUGAUUAAAGAUCACAACUGCUUCUUCGUUGAGGAAAUCAUGUAUUUCAAAGCCACCAAUGAACAAGAUUUUAACCUGAAUGGAAAAGACAAUAUGAGGGUGAUGAAAGACUCUAGAUGGUCCGUCUUGGGUAAGAAGAGAAAAAAAACAUUCAUUCCACUUAUAUCCAAGGUGUUUCACAGAUGAUAUGAAAUACUUUUGAAUGGCUCAGCUCUUUAACUAAUUCCUUUGAUAAAUCCAGGAGUCAGAAUUUAGAAAUAUACAAUAGACUUUUUCCUAAUCAGCAAUGGCACAGGUGGAAAUGUGUCCUCUGUGAGUGUAUUCAAUAGCCACUCAAUGGCCUUUGACCAACAUACUACCUUUUAAAAUGCAAGAUCCUGCAGUCAAAAUUUCUGCUCACAUUCUCAGAGCUGUAUCUCUUCAUCACUUAUUGGACUUAAACUCUAUUGUCUUCGGCUGAUUUUUCAUUAGGGUGAAGGGUCAUUGACCAAUCAUUAUGCAUAAAUAACUGGGAAAUUUAGUGGUGAGCCUUCAAUAGUGGAAGUAGCAUAAAAUAACAGCAAUCAUACCAAGCUCUAUUGAGAGAGUCCUCAAUGGAAGUAAUAUGAAUGGGGAUAGGGAACUAGGGGUGAGAGGGCAAUUCCUCUGGGAGUUUCAUCCCAGAGGAGACUUCACUUGAACUGAACUCCAAAGGAUGAACAGAGUUUUGCACUACAAAAAUUGCAUAGAUAUAACAAGCUAACAGAACAAUCCGAGCAGGUAAGAGCCUGGGCCAUGGCUUUGUAUCAUUAUGCAUAGUUUGGAAGAAUAUUAAUAUUGAUUCUCUGUACCAUUUUUGAGUAUAUUCAUCAGAUCCAUUGCUUGGUGUUAAUUGCAUUUUGUCAAACAAGAGCCUUCCACGCAAUUUAGGAGACAUUUAAAUACUAGUUGAUAUAUUUUACAAAACUGUAUUCUAUACUCAAUCCAGAGUUAAAAUUGAGGCCCAUUUCUUUUCCAUGAUGUAAUACUAUGUUACUUUAGUGGCAAAUUCUCAUAUUCCUUGAAAAGCUCAUCAUCUUGAGGUGACAUUUCAAAACUGCCUUCAUAAAAUUAGGAAGAUCCCAGAAAGCUUGAAACAGAGAACAGUUAUUCCCAUGAUAUAUGAUCUUCCUGGGCCUCUACCUCAUAAACUUCUAACUUCCUUUCAAAUAGUAUAGAAAGGCCGAUUUUUCCUCCUUUGUACACAACAUUCAUUUUUUCCCCUCUCUCUGGGCUAUUAUUUAUUAUUUAACUUGGUUACUGUAUUAUUUAAAGAAAAAAGCAGUUUGCAAUAUUGCCUGUAUGGGAGAUUCUAUAGAGGGUAAAGUAAUAUUGAUUGCAUUGUAGCUAUUAACUACUGUUCCGGAAACAAGGAAGGAGUAUAAGACACUGAAUCAGGGCAAGAAGUACAUUCACCCUCCUACAAGCUAAAAAAGAAAAAAAAGGUAGCAAACCACCUUCCAAAUUAUUCACAAACUUUAGAAUUUCUUCUUCAAGGUCCAAAGAGCCAGCUUGAAAUGUUAAGAUAAUUGGUGAACUUACAGGAAUAGAAAUGGCCCUUAAGGAACAAAAAAAUUUUUCUUACUUUUAGAGACUGUAAAAAGAAUGACCAAACUUCCGUAAUUUUGUUCUAGUCCACAUUUUCAACAUUAACUACUAAAUCC